This 499-nucleotide ribosomal RNA is filed under the name uncultured bacterium. RNAcentral's name for it is "partial 16S ribosomal RNA". It matches the Rfam family "Bacterial small subunit ribosomal RNA", at positions 28 to 507 of the family's 1533-position model. The record is from RNAcentral.
GAUGAACGCUGGCGGCGUGCCUAAUACAUGCAAGUCGAGCGAACAGACGAGAGUGCUUGCACUCUCUGACGUUAGCGGCGGACGGGUGAGUCACACGUGGGUAACCUACCUAUAAGACUGGGAUAACUUCGGGAAACCGGAGCUAAUACCGGAUAAUAUUUAGCUUCGCAUGAAGCAAUAGUGAAAGACGGUUCUGCUGUCACUUAUAGAUGGACCCGCGGUGUAUUAGCUAGUUGGUUAGGUAACGGCUCACCAAGGCAACGAUACAUAGCCGACCUGAGAGGGGGAUAGGCCACACUGGGACUGAGACAGGGCCCAGACGACUGAGGGAGGCAGCAGUAGGGAAUGGUACGCAAUGGACGAAAGUAUGACGGAGCAAGGCCGCGUGAGUGAAGAAGGUUUUCGGAUCGUAAAACUCUGUUGUAAGGGAAGAACAAGUACGUUAGUAAAUGAACGUAGAGUGACGGUACCGGACAAGAAAGCAACGGCUAACUACGUG